GGCUGGUUAGCUCAGUGGGUUGAGCAUGGUGCUGAUAACACCGAGAUCAGGGAUUCGAUUCCUAUUUGGUCU
This 72-nucleotide transfer RNA is filed under the name Apaloderma vittatum (bar-tailed trogon). It matches the Rfam family "tRNA". Rfam says of the family: Transfer RNA (tRNA) molecules are approximately 80 nucleotides in length. The record is from Rfam by way of RNAcentral. Lineage: Eukaryota; Metazoa; Chordata; Aves; Trogoniformes; Trogonidae.